UACGAAGGGGGCCAGCGUUGUUCGGAAUCACUGGGCGUAAAGCGCACGUAGGCGGAUCGUUAAGUCGGGGGUGAAAUCCCAGGGCUCAACCCUGGAACUGCCUUCGAUACUGGCGAUCUUCGAGUCCGGGAGAGGUGAGUGGAACUCCGAGUGUAGAGGUGAAAUUCGUAGAUAUUCGGAAGAACACCAGUGGCGAAGGCGGCUCACUGGCCCGGUACUGACGCUGAGGUGCGAAAGCGUGGGGAGCAAACAGG
RNAcentral lists this ribosomal RNA (254 nucleotides) under uncultured bacterium. RNAcentral's name for it is "partial 16S ribosomal RNA". It matches the Rfam family "Bacterial small subunit ribosomal RNA", at positions 524 to 776 of the family's 1533-position model. The record is from RNAcentral.